GAGUUUGAUCAUGGCUCAGAUUGAACGCUGGCGGUAGGCUUAACACAUGCAAGUCGUGCGAGAAAGUAUCUUCGGAUAUGAGUAGAGCGGCGGACGGGUGAGUAACGCGUAGGAAUCUACCUAGUAGAAGGGGAUAGCCCGGGGAAACCCGGAUUAAUACCGUAUACCUCCUUCGGGAGAAAGAAGGCCUCUCUUUGAAGCUUUCGCUACUAGAUGAGCCUGCGUAAGAUUAGCUAGUUGGUGAGGUAAUGGCUCACCAAGGCUACGAUCUUUAGCUGGUCUGAGAGGACGAUCAGCCACAUUGGGACUGAGACACGGCCCAGACUCCUACGGGAGGCAGCAGUGGGGAAUAUUGGACAAUGGGCGCAAGCCUGAUCCAGCCAUACCGCGUGUGUGAAGAAGGCCUUCGGGUUGUAAAGCACUUUAAGCAGGGAGAAAAAGUUAUAGGUUAAUACCCUAUGACCCUGAUGUUACCUGCAGAAUAAGCACCGGCUAAUUCCGUGCCAGCAGCCGCGGUAAUACGGAAGGUGCAAGCGUUAAUCGGAAUUACUGGGCGUAAAGCGCGCGUAGGUGGUUUGUUAAGUUGGAUGUGAAAGCCCUGGGCUCAACCUAGGAACUGCAUCCAAAACUAACUCACUAGAGUACGAUAGAGGGAGGUAGAAUUCAUAGUGUAGCGGUGGAAUGCGUAGAUAUUAUGAAGAAUACCAGUGGCGAAGGCGGCCUCCUGGAUCUGUACUGACACUGAGGUGCGAAAGCGUGGGUAGCGAACAGGAUUAGAUACCCUGGUAGUCCACGCCGUAAACGAUGACAACUAGCUGUUGGGAGACUAUGUCUUUCAGUGGCGCAGCUAACGCUUUAAGUUGUCCGCCUGGGGGAGUAC
This 880-nucleotide ribosomal RNA is filed under the name uncultured bacterium. RNAcentral's name for it is "bacterial SSU rRNA". It matches the Rfam family "Bacterial small subunit ribosomal RNA", at positions 9 to 883 of the family's 1533-position model. The record is from RNAcentral.